RNAcentral lists this ribosomal RNA (481 nucleotides) under Bifidobacterium sp. wkB344. RNAcentral describes it as "partial 23S ribosomal RNA". It matches the Rfam family "Bacterial large subunit ribosomal RNA", at positions 2450 to 2925 of the family's 2925-position model. Lineage: Bacteria; Bacillati; Actinomycetota; Actinomycetes; Bifidobacteriales; Bifidobacteriaceae. The record is from RNAcentral.
CAACGGAUAAAAGGUACCCCGGGGAUAACAGGCUGAUCAUCCCCAAGAGUCCAUAUCGACGGGAUGGUUUGGCACCUCGAUGUCGGCUCGUCGCAUCCUGGGGCUGGAGCAGGUCCCAAGGGUUCGGCCGUUCGCCGAUUAAAGCGGCACGCGAGCUGGGUUCAGAACGUCGUGAGACAGUUUGGUCUCUAUCCUCUGCGCUCGUUGGAAUCUUGAGGAGCCCUGCCCAUAGUACGAGAGGACCUGGGUGGACGAACCUCUGGUAUGCCGGUUGUCGCGCCAGCGGCACGGCCGGUUGGCUACGUUCGGAUGGGAUAACCGCUGAAAGCAUCUAAGCGGGAAGCCCCCUCCAAGAUAAGGAUUCCAUGAAGCCUUCGGGCUUCUGAAGACCCCAUGCAGAACACAUGGUCGAUAGACCGGACGUGGACACCCCGCAAGGGGCGGAGCCGACCGGCACUAAUGGUCGAAGACAACACACCAU